This 84-nucleotide transfer RNA is filed under the name compost metagenome. Its description in RNAcentral is "tRNA-Ala". The record is from RNAcentral.
CCACAGGAGCCGCGAGGCGGCGUCCCUGGCUGGCAGCCGGGGUUGGUGUAGCCGCGUGGCGCCGUUCGACGCGGAACCUGCGGA